This 427-nucleotide ribosomal RNA is filed under the name uncultured bacterium. RNAcentral's name for it is "bacterial SSU rRNA". It matches the Rfam family "Bacterial small subunit ribosomal RNA", at positions 355 to 774 of the family's 1533-position model. The record is from RNAcentral.
UGGGGAAUUUUGGACAAUGGGCGCAAGCCUGAUCCAGCAAUGCCGCGUGCAGGAUGAAGGCCUUCGGGUUGUAAACUGCUUUUGUACGGAGCGAAAAGGUCUGCCCUAAUACGGUGGGCUCAUGACGGUACCGUAAGAAUAAGCACCGGCUAACUACGUGCCAGCAGCCGCGGUAAUACGUAGGGUGCGAGCGUUAAUCGGAAUUACUGGGCGUAAAGCGUGCGCAGGCGGUUAUAUAAGACAGAUGUGAAAGCCCCGGGCUCAACCUGGGACCUGCAUUUGUGAAUGUAUAGCUAGAGUACGGUAGAGGGAGAUGGAAUUCCGCGUGUAGCAGUGAAAUGCGUAGAUAUGCGGAGGAACACCGAUAGCGAAGGCAAUCCCCUGGACCUGUACUGACUCUAAUGCACGAAAGCGUGGGGAGCAAACA